This 424-nucleotide ribosomal RNA is filed under the name Fusobacteriota bacterium. RNAcentral describes it as "Fusobacteria bacterium partial 16S ribosomal RNA". It matches the Rfam family "Bacterial small subunit ribosomal RNA", at positions 355 to 776 of the family's 1533-position model. The record is from RNAcentral. Lineage: Bacteria; Fusobacteriati; Fusobacteriota.
UGAGGAAUAUUGGUCAAUGGGCGCUAGCCUGAACCAGCCAAGUAGCGUGAAGGAUGAAGGCUCUCUGGGUCGUAAACUUCUUUUAUAUAAGAAUAAAGUGCAGUAUGUAUACUGUUUUGUAUGUAUUAUAUGAAUAAGGAUCGGCUAACUCCGUGCCAGCAGCCGCGGUAAUACGGAGGAUCCGAGCGUUAUCCGGAUUUAUUGGGUUUAAAGGGAGCGUAGGUGGACUGGUAAGUCAGUUGUGAAAGUUUGCGGCUCAACCGUAAAAUUGCAGUUGAUACUGUCAGUCUUGAGUACAGUAGAGGUGGGCGGAAUUCGUGGUGUAGCGGUGAAAUGCUUAGAUAUCACGAAGAACUCCGAUUGAGAAGGCAGCUCACUGGACUGCAACUGACACUGAUGCUCGAAAGUGUGGGGAUCAAACAGG